RNAcentral lists this ribosomal RNA (377 nucleotides) under Pinalitus oromii. RNAcentral describes it as "partial 16S ribosomal RNA". The record is from RNAcentral. Lineage: Eukaryota; Metazoa; Arthropoda; Insecta; Hemiptera; Miridae.
UGGCUGCAGUAUUUUGACUGUACAAAGGUAGCAUAAUCAUUUGUCUUUUAAUUGAAGGCUAGUAUGAAUGGUUGGACGAAAAAUAUACUUUCUUUAUUUUAUAUAAAUAAAUUAAUUUUUUAGUUAAAAAGCUAAGAUUUUUUUAUAGGACGAGAAGACCCUAUAGAACUUUAUUUUCUACAUAUAUAUAUUUUAUAGAUUUUUAAAAUAUUAUAUANUAAUAGUUAAUUUAAUUGGGGUGAUUGAAAAAAUUAUAUAACUUUUUCUAUUUCUAUCAUUUAUUUAUGAUGUUUUUGAUCCUUUAAUAUGGAAAAUAAGAUUAAGUUACCUUAGGGAUAACAGCGUUAUUUUUUUGGAGAGUUCUUAUCGAUAAAAAA